GAUGAACGCUGGCGGCGUGCCUAAUACAUGCAAGUCGAGCGAACAGACGAGGAGCUUGCUCCUCUGACGUUAGCGGCGGACGGGUGAGUAACACGUGGAUAACCUACCUAUAAGACUGGGAUAACUUCGGGAAACCGGAGCUAAUACCGGAUAAUAUAUUGAACCGCAUGGUUCAAUAGUGAAAGACGGUUUUGCUGUCACUUAUAGAUGGAUCCGCGCCGCAUUAGCUAGUGGGUAAGGUAACGGCUCACCAAGGCAACGACGGGUAGCCGACCUGAGAGGGUGAACGGCGACAGUGGGACUGAGACACGGCCAAGACUCCGACGGGAGGCAGCAGUGGGGAAUAUUGCACAAUGGGCGCAAGCCUGAUGCAGCAACGCCGCGGGAGGGACGACGGCCUGCGGGUUGGAAACAUCUUGUAGCAGGGAAGAAGCGAAAGUGAGGGUACCUGAAGAAAAAGCACCGGCUAACUACGUG
RNAcentral lists this ribosomal RNA (477 nucleotides) under uncultured bacterium. Its description in RNAcentral is "partial 16S ribosomal RNA". It matches the Rfam family "Bacterial small subunit ribosomal RNA", at positions 28 to 507 of the family's 1533-position model. The record is from RNAcentral.